UGGGUAAUAUUGCACAAUGGGCGCAAGCCUGAUGCAGCCAUGCCGCGUGUAUGAAGAAGGCCUGCGUGUUGUAAAGUACUUUCAGUCGGGAGGAAGGUGUCAAGGUUAAUAACCUUUGCAAUUGACGUUACCGACAGAAGAAGCACCGGCUAACUCCGUGCCAGCAGCCGCGGUAAUACGGAGGGUGCAAGCGUUAAUCGGAAUUACUGGGCGUAAAGCGCACGCAGGCGGUUGAUUGAGUCAGAUGUGAAAUCCCCGGGCUUAACCCGGGAAUUGCAUCUGAUACUGGUCAGCUAGAGUCUUGUAGAGGGGGGUAGAAUUCCAUGUGUAGCGGUGAAAUGCGUAGAGAUGUGGAGGAAUACCGGUGGCGAAGGCGGCCCCCUGGACAAAGACUGACGCUCAGGUGCGAAAGCGUGGGGAGCAAAAAGG
RNAcentral lists this ribosomal RNA (429 nucleotides) under Chloroflexota bacterium. RNAcentral describes it as "Chloroflexi bacterium partial 16S ribosomal RNA". It matches the Rfam family "Bacterial small subunit ribosomal RNA", at positions 355 to 776 of the family's 1533-position model. The record is from RNAcentral. Lineage: Bacteria; Bacillati; Chloroflexota.